CGGGAACUGCCCGGUUCGUCAGACGCGUAAAUCCCGGGAGCCGAUAUCGACCUCCAGGGAGCUGUCCCUGCUCCGGGCCGUGGCCUGGAACACACGGCGCCCACCUGUCUAUGACGGGCUCACGGAGGAUUUCAGACCGUCAACGGCCAGGGUGGUCCCGCA
This 162-nucleotide non-coding RNA is filed under the name Alphaproteobacteria bacterium. RNAcentral describes it as "6S RNA". It matches the Rfam family "6S / SsrS RNA". Rfam says of the family: E. coli 6S RNA was the first non coding RNA to be sequenced, but its function was unknown until recently. It consists of 184 nucleotides that fold into an extended hairpin structure with a large single-stranded internal bulge. The record is from RNAcentral. Lineage: Bacteria; Pseudomonadati; Pseudomonadota; Alphaproteobacteria. RNAcentral also lists the same sequence under 1 other name.